UACAUAUUUCCCUUCGUCCGAAAUUACUUGUCGCACAAAUAGAUAAAAAUGGAUGUAUCUAAAGCUAAAAUACAUAUAGAUACAUCCAUCCCUAUGACAAGUAUUUUCGGACGAAGGGAGUACAUG
This is a non-coding RNA of Hordeum vulgare subsp. vulgare (domesticated barley), 126 nucleotides long. The record is from Rfam. NCBI's taxonomy places the organism in Eukaryota, Viridiplantae, Streptophyta, Magnoliopsida, Poales, Poaceae.